Molecule: ribosomal RNA, 729 nt
Filed under: uncultured eukaryote
Lineage: Eukaryota
Description: SSU rRNA
Rfam family: Eukaryotic small subunit ribosomal RNA
Source: RNAcentral
CGGGUGCACUGAUCCAGCCGGGCCUUUCCCUCUGUGGAACCCCAUGGCCUUCACUGGCUGUGGUGGGGAAACAGGACUUUUACUUUGAAAAAAUUAGAGUGCUCCAGGCAGGCCUAUGCUCGAAUACAUUAGCAUGGAAUAAUAGAAUAGGACGUGUGGUUCUAUUUUGUUGGUUUCUAGGACCGCCGUAAUGAUUAAUAGGGACAGUCGGGGGCAUCAGUAUUCAAUUGUCAGAGGUGAAAUUCUUGGAUCUAUUGAAGACUAACUACUGCGAAAGCAUUUGCCAAGGAUGUUUUCAUUGAUAAGGAACGAAAGUUAGGGGAUCGAAGACGAUCAGAUACCGUCGUAGUCUUAACUAUAAACUAUGCCGACUAGGGAUCGGACGAUGUUAUUCUUUGACGCGUUCGGCACCUUUCGAGAAAUCAAAGUGCUUGGGCUCCAGGGGGAGUAUGGUCGCAAGGCUGAAACUUAAAGAAAUUGACGGAAGGGCACCACCAGGGGUGGAACCUGCGGCUUAAUUUGACUCAACACGGGGAAACUCACCAGGUCCAGACACAGUGAGGAUUGACAGAUUGAGAGCUCUUUCUUGAUUCUGUGGGUGGUGGUGCAUGGCCGUUCUUAGUUGGUGGAGUGAUUUGUCUGCUUAAUUGCGAUAACGAACGAGACCUUAACCUGCUAAAUAGCCCGUACUGCUUUGGCAGCUCGCCGGCUUCUUAGAGGGACUAUCGG